RNAcentral lists this small RNA (28 nucleotides) under Bombyx mori (domestic silkworm). RNAcentral's name for it is "ovarian small RNA-1653". The record is from RNAcentral. Lineage: Eukaryota; Metazoa; Arthropoda; Insecta; Lepidoptera; Bombycidae.
UUGUGAUGUGCCAUAUAGCUGGCAGAAG